Molecule: non-coding RNA, 31 nt
Filed under: Rattus norvegicus (Norway rat)
Lineage: Eukaryota; Metazoa; Chordata; Mammalia; Rodentia; Muridae
Source: RNAcentral
UCCAAAACCAAACUACAAUUUGUUGAAAAAU